Molecule: ribosomal RNA, 831 nt
Filed under: Salinibacterium amurskyense
Lineage: Bacteria; Bacillati; Actinomycetota; Actinomycetes; Micrococcales; Microbacteriaceae
Description: bacterial SSU rRNA
Rfam family: Bacterial small subunit ribosomal RNA
Source: RNAcentral
UCAGGAUGAACGCUGGCGGCGUGCUUAACACAUGCAAGUCGAACGAUGAAGCCGGAGCUUGCUCUGGUGGAUUAGUGGCGAACGGGUGAGUAACACGUGAGUAACCUGCCCUUGACUCUGGAAUAAGCGUUGGAAACGACGUCUAAUACCGGAUACGAGCUUCCGCCGCAUGGUGAGGAGCUGGAAAGAAUUUCGGUCAAGGAUGGACUCGCGGCCUAUCAGGUAGUUGGUGAGGUAAUGGCUCACCAAGCCUACGACGGGUAGCCGGCCUGAGAGGGUGACCGGCCACACUGGAACUGAGACACGGUCCAGACUCCUACGGGAGGCAGCAGUGGGGAAUAUUGCACAAUGGGCGCAAGCCUGAUGCAGCAACGCCGCGUGAGGGACGACGGCCUUCGGGUUGUAAACCUCUUUUAGUAGGGAAGAAGCGAAAGUGACGGUACCUGCAGAAAAAGCACCGGCUAACUACGUGCCAGCAGCCGCGGUAAUACGUAGGGUGCAAGCGUUAUCCGGAAUUAUUGGGCGUAAAGAGCUCGUAGGCGGUUUGUCGCGUCUGCUGUGAAAACUGGGGGCUCAACCCCCAGCCUGCAGUGGGUACGGGCAGACUAGAGUGCGGUAGGGGAGAUUGGAAUUCCUGGUGUAGCGGUGGAAUGCGCAGAUAUCAGGAGGAACACCGAUGGCGAAGGCAGAUCUCUGGGCCGUAACUGACGCUGAGGAGCGAAAGCAUGGGGAGCGAACAGGAUUAGAUACCCUGGUAGUCCAUGCCGUAAACGUUGGGAACUAGAUGUAGGGGCCAUUCCACGGUUUCUGUGUCGCAGCUAACGCAUUAAG